UUGAAAGGGAAACGAUUGAAGUCAGUCAUGCUGGUGGGAAUCAACUUAGGGGAAACUCUGGGUGCAUUUCUUCCCUUGCCAGGUCAACGUCGAUUUUGGAUGUCAUAAAAUAAUUGGGGAAGGUAGCUCCUUCGGGAGUGUUAUAGCCCUUGAUAGAUGUGAUGUUUGAGGUCGAGGAUUGCAACGGAUACCCUUUGGGGCUAGCCGCCUGAUCUCUAAUUGGUGUUGGGUUACGGAUAGCAUGCUGACCGUGAUCUAAUUACUGGUUAAAAGGUUAGAGUAUGCAUAAAUUCGUUAAGGAUGUUGACGUA
RNAcentral lists this ribosomal RNA (311 nucleotides) under uncultured Glomeromycotina. RNAcentral describes it as "LSU rRNA". Lineage: Eukaryota; Fungi; Glomeromycota. The record is from RNAcentral.